CGCUGGCGGCAGGCCUAACACAUGCAAGUCGAGCGGAAGGUUCUUCGGAACCGAGAGCGGCGGACGGGUGAGGAUAGCGUGGGAAUCUGCCUGUAGAUGGGGAUAGCCCGGAGAAAUCCGGAUUAAUACCGCAUAAUACCUGAGGGUUAAAGUGGAGGAUCGCAAGACUUCACGUCUACAGAUGAGCCCACGUCAGAUUAGCUAGUUGGUAGGGUAAAGGCCUACCAAGGCGACGAUCUGUAGCUGGCCUGAGAGGGUGGCCAGCCACACUGGAACUGAGACACGGUCCAGACUCCUACGGGAGGCAGCAGUGGGGAAUAUUGGACAAUGGGCGCAAGCCUGAUCCAGCCAUGCCGCGUGUGUGAAGAAGGCCUUCGGGUUGUAAAGCACUUUAAGUUGGGAGGAAGGUUCGAUGGAUAAUACCCAUCGGAAUUGACGUUACCAACAGAAUAAGCACCGGCUAAUUCCGUG
RNAcentral lists this ribosomal RNA (471 nucleotides) under uncultured bacterium. RNAcentral describes it as "bacterial SSU rRNA". It matches the Rfam family "Bacterial small subunit ribosomal RNA", at positions 34 to 507 of the family's 1533-position model. The record is from RNAcentral.